AGCAGCCGCGGUAAUUCCAGCUCCAAUAGCGUAUAUUAAAGUUGUUGCAGUUAAAAAGCUCGUAGUUGAAUUUCGGGAUCAGUAUGUUGGUCGUGCUUCGGUACGUACUGUCAUUACUGGUUUCUCCCUUCUGAAGAACCUUGAUGUCAUUAAUUUGGUGUCUUGGGGAAUCAGGACUGUUACUUUGAAAAAAUUAGAGUGUUUAAAGCAGGCAUACGCUUGAAUACAUUAGCAUGGAAUAAUGAAAUAGGACGUUUGAUUCUAUUUUGUUGGUUUCUAGGAUCGACGUAAUGAUUAAUAGGGAUAGUUGGGGGCAUUAGUAUUCAAUUGUCAGAGGUGAAAUUCUUGGAUUUAUUGAAGACUAACUACUGCGAAAGCAUUUGCCAAGGAUGUUUUCAUUAAUCAAGAACGAAAGUUAGGGGAUCGAAGACGAUCAGAUACCGUCGUAGUCUUAACCAUAAACUAUGCCGACUAGGGAUCGGAUGAUGUUAUUUUUAAUGACUCA
RNAcentral lists this ribosomal RNA (505 nucleotides) under uncultured Glomus. RNAcentral describes it as "SSU rRNA". It matches the Rfam family "Eukaryotic small subunit ribosomal RNA", at positions 569 to 1078 of the family's 1831-position model. Lineage: Eukaryota; Fungi; Glomeromycota; Glomeromycetes; Glomerales; Glomeraceae. The record is from RNAcentral.